This 998-nucleotide long non-coding RNA is filed under the name Panax ginseng (ginseng). RNAcentral describes it as "long non-coding RNA (PGIN_LNC016651)". The record is from RNAcentral. Lineage: Eukaryota; Viridiplantae; Streptophyta; Magnoliopsida; Apiales; Araliaceae.
GCCUUUAGCGAUAAACAGUGUAGUCUAUGGUGUUCUUGAGCCUUCAAGAACAUUCAUAGUCAGCUUCGGGUUAGCUAGUUUGACCAAGAACACUGAUCCGAUCAAGAUGUUUCUGGGCUAUAAGUUGUGCAGAUCGUGUAGUAAAAGUGUCAGACUACAUGAUCCAAGAACAAACAUGAACAGACAACAUAUCAUGAAAGAGAUAUAAUCGUCCAAAGUGGCUGUCAGAGCUGUUCUUUCAUUUCUGGGUUGCCCAGAAAUGAAGAACAGUAUGACUGGCCUACUUUGGGCUUUCACAACUUGAAAUUCGUAUAAUGUUUUAGUGAUUUAAAGGUUGAAGUGUGUAGCCAACAUAACAAGGAAGAGAUUCAUUACAUAAAAGAAACAUAACAACAACAGAUCAAGCAUAUAUAUGUCGGUCAAACCAUGUCAGACGACAUGCUCAAGCGUUUUCUGGGUUACCCAGAAAACAGCUUCCAUGUUCGUCUGGCCUAGUUUGACCGUCCACUGUAAUCAUUAAGUGUGAUUUUUAAGUGAUAUAAAGGUACAAUAAUGUAGUCUAAUCAACAUACUACGACUUAGAUCCAUCAACAAUAACAAAUCAACAACAAAAAGUCAGAUCAGUGGCCACAAAUUCCAUGUCAGACUGUUCUGGGGACACCUGGGUUACCCAGAAACUUUGCAAGUCAUGGUCGGUCAAUGCAGUUUGACCUUCCAUAACUUUCAAUCCACAUAUGAUCUAAGCCUGAUUUCAAGCUCAAAUCAAAGAGCACAUAUCCGACUACAACGACAAAGUUUCAAAACACAAAAAGCCUUAAAGAUCACAGAGAUACAAGGCCUGACAUUCGUUAUCAGAAAACAAAACCAAAAUUUUCCAGAUUUUGUAAAUCUUCAAAUCUGAGCCUCUAGAUGUUAUGGAUCUAACAUUUAGCAACCCAGAUCAUCAUUAGACACCUUAUAUAACAUGUUUAACAAAAAAAAUCUAACAUCAAACAACA